RNAcentral lists this non-coding RNA (93 nucleotides) under Legionellales bacterium. Its description in RNAcentral is "TPP sequence". It matches the Rfam family "TPP riboswitch aptamer (THI element)". Rfam says of the family: Vitamin B(1) in its active form thiamin pyrophosphate (TPP) is an essential coenzyme that is synthesised by coupling of pyrimidine and thiazole moieties in bacteria. The record is from RNAcentral. Lineage: Bacteria; Pseudomonadati; Pseudomonadota; Gammaproteobacteria; Legionellales.
UAUUAGGGCGCGGGGUGUUGGGAGACCGACUGAGAAAUACCCGUCGAACUUGAACUGAUUAAUAUCAGCGUAAGGACGCUAUAGGAGUUAUCG